This 209-nucleotide non-coding RNA is filed under the name Kandleria vitulina. RNAcentral describes it as "T-box sequence". It matches the Rfam family "T-box leader". Rfam says of the family: Uncharged tRNA acts as the effector for transcription antitermination of genes in the T-box leader family. T-boxes are found upstream of many aminoacyl-tRNA synthetase genes and some amino acid biosynthetic genes usually in Gram-positive bacteria. The record is from RNAcentral. Lineage: Bacteria; Bacillati; Bacillota; Erysipelotrichia; Erysipelotrichales; Coprobacillaceae.
GCAAAGGCGAUGAAUAGAAGAGUAGUUUUAUACUUGCUUAAAGAGAGUCUCUGGAUGGUGUAAAGAGAUAGUAAAGGUAAAAUGAAUAAAGACUAGGAGCCGUAUCUUGGAUAUAAAGAUUGAUAAGAUAACGUGUGACCGCGUUAAGGUCUAAGAGGCUGUAGCAAUACAGUGAAUUAGGGUGGUACCACGAUGCUCUCGUCCCUUUG